CCUACGGGGGGCAGCAGUCGAGAAUUUUUCUCAAUGGGCGAAAGCCUGAAGGAGCGACGCCGCGUGGAGGAUGAAGGCUUUCGGGUUGUAAACUCCUGUCAUUUGAGAACUAGUAUCAGAAGAGGAAGGGACGGCUAACUCUGUGCCAGCAGCCGCGGUAAUACAGAGGUCCCAAGCGUUGUUCGGAUUCAUUGGGCGUAAAGGGUGCGUAGGUGGCGCCGUAAGUCGGGUGUGAAAUUUCGGAGCUUAACUCCGAAACUGCAUUCGAUACUGCGGUGCUUGAGGACUGGAGAGGAGACUGGAAUUCAUGGUGUAGCAGUGAAAUGCGUAGAGAUCAUGAGGAAGACCAGUGGCGAAGGCGGGUCUCUGGACAGUCCUGACACUGAGGCACGAAGGCCAGGGGAGCAAACGGGAUUAGAUACCCUUGUAGUC
RNAcentral lists this ribosomal RNA (432 nucleotides) under uncultured bacterium. Its description in RNAcentral is "partial 16S ribosomal RNA". It matches the Rfam family "Bacterial small subunit ribosomal RNA", at positions 338 to 795 of the family's 1533-position model. The record is from RNAcentral.